GAUGAACGCUGGCGGCGUGCCUAAUACAUGCAAGUCGAACGCGGGCACUUGUGCCCGAGUGGCGAACGGGUGAGUAAUACAUAAGUAACCUGGCCUUUACAGGGGGAUAACUGCUGGAAACGGCAGCUAAGACCGCAUAGGUAGGGACACUGCAUGGUGACCGUAUUAAAAGUGCUGCAAGGCACUGGUAGAGGAUGGACUUAUGGCGCAUUAGCUGGUUGGUGAGGUAACGGCUCACCAAGGCGACGAUGCGUAGCCGACCUGAGAGGGUGACCGGCCACACUGGGACUGAGACACGGCCCAGACUCCUACGGGAGGCAGCAGUAGGGAAUUUUCGGCAAUGGGGGGAACCCUGACCGAGCAACGCCGCGUGAAGGAAGAAGGAAUUCGUUCUGUAAACUUCUGUUAUAAAGGAAGAAAGACGGAUGGAGGAAAUGACAUCCGAGUGACGGUACUUUAUGAGAAAGCCACGGCUAACUACGUGCCAGCAGCCGCGGUAAUACGUAGGUGGCAAGCGUUAUCCGGAAUUAUUGGGCGUAAAGAGGGAGCAGGCGGCAGCAAAGGUCUGUGGUGAAAGACUGAAGCUUAACUUCAGUAAGCCAUAGAAACCGGGCAGCUAGAGUGCAGGAGAGGAUCGUGGAAUUCCAUGUGUAGCGGUGAAAUGCGUAGAUAUAUGGAGGAACACCAGUGGCGAAGGCGACGAUCUGGCCUGCAACUGACGCUCAGUCCCGAAAGCGUGGGGAGCAAAUAGGAUUAGAUACCCUAGUAGUCCACGCCGUAAACGAUGAGUACUAAGUGUUGGAAGUCAAAUUUCAGUGCUGCAGUUAACGCAGUAAGUACUCCGCCUGAGUAGUACGUUCGCAAGAAUGAAACUCAAAGGAAUUGACGGGGGCCCGCACAAGCGGUGGAGCAUGUGGUUUAAUUCGAAGCAACGCGAAGAACCUUACCAGGUCUUGACAUACUCAUAAAGGAUCCAGAGAUGGAUAGAUAGUUAUAUGAGAUACAGGUGGUGCAUGGUUGUCGUCAGCUCGUGUCGUGAGAUGUUGGGUUAAGUCCCGCAACGAGCGCAACCCUUGUCGUUAGUUACCAUCAUUAAGUUGGGGACUCUAGCGAGACUGCCAGUGACAAGCUGGAGGAAGGCGGGGAUGACGUCAAAUCAUCAUGCCCCUUAUGACCUGGGCUACACACGUGCUACAAUGGAUGGUGCAGAGGGAAGCGAAGCCGCGAGGCGAAGCAAAACCCAUAAAACCAUUCUCAGUUCGGAUUGUAGUCUGCAACUCGACUACAUGAAGUUGGAAUCGCUAGUAAUCGCGAAUCAGCAUGUCGCGGUGAAUACGUUCUCGGGCCUUGUACACACCGCCCGUCACACCAUGAGAGUUGAUAACACCCGAAGCCGGUGGCCUAACCGAAAGGAAGGAGCUGUCUAAGGUGGGAUUGAUGAUUGGGGUGAAGUCGUAACAAGGUAUCCCUACGGGAACGUGGGGAUGGAUCACCUCCUUUCUAAGGAGAAAGGCAUUAUCGAAGAUGAUGCAGAAGAGAAGUGAUGUUUCGAAGAUACUGUUUAGUUUUGAGUGAUACUCAGGUAUGACUCGGAGAUCAUUGAAAACUGGAUAAUAGAAAAUAAAUUGCGAUAGAAAUAGAAAAAGAGAUCGAAAUAGUAAAUGUUAUUAUUGAGGUCUUUCUAGAAAAGUCGAAAACUAAGAAUUUUCAUCACUAAAAAACAGAAAUCGAAACGGAUGGAAGUAUUUUAGUAAAUAGUUGAAAAUAGUAAUCAAGCAGACACCAAAAUAGGUAAAGUAAGAAAGAGCGUAUGGCGGAUGCCUAGGCACAGAGAGGCGAAGAAGGACGCAGCAAACAGCGAAAUGCGACGGUCAGCAGUAAGCAUGCAGAGAUCCGUCGAUGUCCGAAUGGGGGAACCCACCUGGAGUAGAGACCAGGUAUCCUGAAGUGAAUAAAUAGCUUCAGAGAGGCGAGACUCAGGGAACUGAAACAUCUAAGUACCUGAAGGAAGAGAAAAUAAACGAAUGAUUCCCUAAGUAGCGGCGAGCGAAAGGGGAGGAGCCCAAACCGAUCUGAGGAUCGGGGUUGUAGGACUGUCGAAAAAGAGCAAGAAGACAUUAUAGGCGAACGGAAUGGGAAGUCCGGCGAAACAGGGUGACAGCCCCGUAGCCGAAAUAGUGAAGAAGCUUGAGACAGCACCUGAGUACGGCGGGACACGAGGAAUCCUGUCGGAAUCCACCAGGACCAUCUGGUAAGGCUAAAUACUCCUCUGUGACCGAUAGUGAACC
Molecule: ribosomal RNA, 2288 nt
Filed under: uncultured Thomasclavelia sp.
Lineage: Bacteria; Bacillati; Bacillota; Erysipelotrichia; Erysipelotrichales; Coprobacillaceae
Description: partial contains 16S ribosomal RNA, 16S-23S ribosomal RNA intergenic spacer, and 23S ribosomal RNA
Rfam family: Bacterial small subunit ribosomal RNA (bases 1-1500)
Source: RNAcentral